CUAUCACAUUCAAUUAUAGGAUUUUGUAACAAUCAUUCAUAUUGCCAUAACAACGCAACUUGUGUCACAAAAAACGAAACUUCUGGCUGCUUAUGUCGUCCAGGGUUUGCAGGGAAAACAUGUAGUUGGGAAAUAAACCGAAAUUUAACAGACUUAAUUGAAAAUGGGGGUCAAUUUACUCAACAGAACGUCAUAGAGACUACUCAUUGUUACAUAAAAGAGCCAUGUUUGAUACCAAUCAGUAUUACAAGAAAUGUCCAUAUUAUGUAGGUAUUUCUUCUACAGAACUUACGUUUUACCUUAAUGCCUGUUCUCUUUCUAUACAUUUACAAACCAUCUUAUUUUAAGACCCAAGAUAAAGGUCGGUGU
Molecule: long non-coding RNA, 369 nt
Organism: Magallana angulata
Lineage: Eukaryota; Metazoa; Mollusca; Bivalvia; Ostreida; Ostreidae
Exons: 3
Source: RefSeq, a predicted model, not a curated record